RNAcentral lists this long non-coding RNA (2518 nucleotides) under Olea europaea subsp. europaea. The record is from RNAcentral. Lineage: Eukaryota; Viridiplantae; Streptophyta; Magnoliopsida; Lamiales; Oleaceae.
ACAUUUCAACUUUUUAUUCUUUAAUCCUGCACAGCAGUGUCCAAUCCAACAUGCCAAAAGUUCCAUCAGAGCACAUGAAUUCUGCUUGGUCAUCAUCCUUGAAGGGACCUAUGUUUUCAUCCACUGGACAAAGAACUGGUUAUCCUUAUCACAGCGGGCAUGGCUCAUUUCUGGGUUCACAUCACGUUGGAUCCGCUCCAUCUGGUAUUCAACUAGAAAGCAAUUUUGGUUUUUCUACAGUCUCACAAGAAUCAUCCCAAAUAAGUCGAGCUGCAAUUGGAGCCACAAAUUUAGGUCGCAACAGUGGGAAUCAUGCCAUGAAUAUGGUUGCCCAGGGGGCUCUGAACAUGGGCGUUGCUUUUACAGGAAAUUUUUCUGAAGGUAGUUCUCCGAGUUCCAGGAUGAUGCCAAUGUCCAGAAAUUCUCCCAUGUUUUUCGGAACUGGUUCUUAUGGAGGCAUGGGAGCAACUGCAACUGAUGGAUUGAUGGACUGCUAUCGAAAUAGAAGAGCUGACAGUGGAAGCCAGAUGGAAGACAGAAGGCAGUAUCAACUUGAUUUGGAAAAGAUCAUCAAUGGGGAAGAUAAUAGGACUACUUUGAUGAUUAAAAAUAUCCCCAACAAGUAUGAACUGAUAACAAUUUCAAUAUCCAUUUUUUUUUUUGAAACUGCGGUUUCCUGCUGCAUUUUUAUUUUCUUUAUUUGAAGGUACACCUCAAAGAUGCUACUUAUGGCUAUUGAUGAAACUCACAAGGGUACAUAUGAUUUCCUCUAUCUGCCAAUUGAUUUUAAGGUGAGUUUACUGUAGAGGACAGUUAUAUACUUUUGUGCUUAACUCAAAAUUAUACACUGUGUGAACUCAAUACCCUCAACUCCUACUGCCUAGAAUAAGUGCAAUGUGGGGUAUGCUUUCAUCAACAUGGUGUCUUCUUCACACAUCAUCACCUUCUACGAGGUUCGAGUUUCUUUCCUUUGUACCUUUACUUUUGGGUCGUCUCUAUUAAAUAUCAUAUCACCUCAGGAUACUAAAAUAUGAGAGCAACUAAUGUUAAAGCUUGGGAACAUUUUACAAUUGCUAUUCUCUAAUCACCCUCACAAGCCACAUAAUCAUAGAUUUUGUUUAUUGAAAACUCCGGAAAUCUGUUCAGUGACAAAUGGACUUGUCUCUUGUAAAUCUGUGCAGGCAUUUAAUGGAAAGAAAUGGGAAAAGUUCAAUAGCGAAAAGGUUGCGUCUCUGGCAUAUGCGAGAAUCCAGGGACAGGUGGCUCUUGUUUCACAUUUCCAAAAUUCAAGUUUAAUGAAUGAAGACAAACGGUGCCGACCAAUUCUCUUCCAGUUAGAGGGCCAAGGGAUCAAAGAUCUGGUAUGUGAAACUAGUUACAAUCUUUUUCCACACUUCAUGACUUAGCACCUGUUUGAUAGGAUUAAAAUCUAUAUUUUAAAUUAAGUCAAAGUCAACAGUUAAUCUUAACAACAUAUUUCAAAGGAUUCACAACUUUUCAACUUUUCAACCACAUAUGUCAUCAAUUUUUAUCAAAAUGUACUAAAAUUUGAUUUUAAUUCCCAUCAAAUAGGGACUUAAUAAUGUUGAGAUCUAUAAUUUUCUAAGUAAGUAAAAGUAAAGUGAGUAAAAAUUUGUCCUACUAAUAAAUUUUGUCAUGUUUUCUAGUUAUAGAGUUUUAUUGACCAAUUAUUUCUCAAACUGUAUCUGAAGGAAAAAGUUUUGGUGGCUUUUUCUAUUAUUUUAUUACAUUACAUUUUAGUUUUUCAAGAAUAAUAUAAAAUCUAUGAACCUCUGGUUGAACACUAAAUAUUUAUCUUUCCAUUAUUAUUAUUAUUUUUUAAUUUCUCUUGCCAUUUGGUGAUCUGAUUUAAAAGGAUUUUUGCGUCUCUCAGGAACCUAGACAUACUAGUAACCUGAACAUCUUCAUACGUCAGCCUGAUGGAACUUAUGUUGGGGAUUCUCUGGACAGCCCAAAGAGUAAUCCAGAUGAGUAGCUGGAGAAAAGUGGACCACUCCCUUAAAGUGGAUGACUCCAAACUAGAAUUGGUGGACAGUAAAUGCUAACUCUCGUACAGCUUUUAUGUCGUAGUUUAUUGUAUUACCUGUGAACUGGAAUGAUAUUACUGGAGUGUCUGCUUUUCAACAUGGAUACUCCGUAUUAUCUUGGAAGAAACAUUUGACAGGGCAAAGGGAGUGUUCUGUUUAUAUGCACACCGGCAAAUGAUUUUAACAGGGCGAGGUAAUUAGAGUGAAGUUUAGCAUCAACUGAUAUGUGAAGUUCUCUCCUUUUUAUUUUGCUCCAUUUUUUGGUCCAGUUCUCACGACUGCUUAGCAGUCUUACUAAAUGUAUAGUAGUUUAUAGAGCUGGGGAGGGUCAGAAAUAUGUAUAGAAGGGAACUACAAAAAGGCCUGUGAAUUCUGAUUUUGUACACAGGAAACUGUGUAUGUGAUAUGAAUUUGCAUGACUUCUUUUGAUCCUUACCGGUUUACCUUAUAAAUUCUGGCUCUCUUUACAA